This is a long non-coding RNA of Arachis duranensis, 475 nucleotides long. RefSeq lists it as uncharacterized. The transcript has 3 exons. The record is from RefSeq and is a predicted model, not a curated record. Lineage: Eukaryota; Viridiplantae; Streptophyta; Magnoliopsida; Fabales; Fabaceae.
AUUUUUUUUUUUGCCUCUAUGCUUCAUGUUCAUCCUGCCAAUCAUUACUGUCUUUGUUCGGUAUUGCUGUCCUUAUCCGGCACCACGGAUGUCAUUGUUGUUGCUUCCCCAGAAGAACUAAUGUUACUGCUACUAUUCCGGCCGUACUAGCUAUUGUAAACUGGAAAAAGAAGGAGAUCGCCACAUUUAAAUUCGACGGUUUUGACUAACUGAGUGACACAGGUUUGAAGAUGCAAUUUGAAGCUACGAGCGAUUAGUAGGCUUCCUUUAUGGUUUUAAUUGCUUUCAUCGAGUCCCCUCACUGUUGUCCCUUGAGAUUCUAUUCCAUAUAGAGGGGUAGGUUUAGUAUAUUAUAUUUGAGUUUCAUUUGGUUUCUUUUGUAUAAGAAUUAUUAUCAAUAAUAUUUAUGUGAUUAUUUUUAUUUGUAAAUGUUUGAAUUAUGACUUUAGUGAAAUAAAAACAAAAUUUUCUGGAA